This 505-nucleotide ribosomal RNA is filed under the name uncultured bacterium. RNAcentral's name for it is "partial 16S ribosomal RNA". It matches the Rfam family "Bacterial small subunit ribosomal RNA", at positions 28 to 523 of the family's 1533-position model. The record is from RNAcentral.
GAUGAACGCUAGCGGCAGGCCUAACACAUGCAAGUCGAGGGGCAGCACAUAAAGUGGUUUACUACUUUUGGUGGCGACCGGCGGACGGGUGCGUAACGCGUAUGCAACCUGCCUCCAACAGGGGGAUAACGGAGAGAAAUUUCCACUAAUACCCCAUAAUAUCAGAAUCGGCAUCGGUUUUGGUUGAACACUCCGGUGGUUGGAGAUGGGCAUGCGUUGUAUUAGAUAGUUGGUGAGGUAACGGCUCACCAAGUCAACGAUACAUAGGGGGACUGAGAAGUUAGCUCCCCACACGGGUACUGCAACACGGACCAGACUCCUACGGGAGGCAGCAGUGAGGAAUAUUGGUCAAUGGGGCAACCCUGAACCAGCCAUGCCGCGUGCAGGAAGACGGCUCUAUGAGUUGUAAACUGCUUUUACAAGGGGAUAAAUCGGUGUACGUGUACACCGUUGAAGGUACCUUGGGAAUAAGGAUCGGCUAACUCCGUGCCAGCCGCCGCGGUAA